AAGACCUUGCGCUUUUGGAGCGGCCGAMGUCUGAUUAGCUAGUUGGUGGGGUAAUGGCCUACCAAAGCUUCGAUCAGUAGCUGGUCUGAGAGGACGGCCAGCCACACUGGGACUGAGACACGGCCCAGACUCCUACGGGAGGCAGCAGUGGGGAAUUUUGGACAAUGGGCGCAAGCCUGAUCCAGCCAUGCCGCGUGAGUGAAGAAGGCCUUCGGGUUGUAAAGCUCUUUCAGCCGGGAAGAAAAGGUUGCGAUUAAUAAUCGCAAUUGAUGACGGUACCGGAAGAAGAAGCACCGGCUAACUACGUGCCAGCAGCCGCGGUAAUACGUAGGGUGCGAGCGUUAAUCGGAAUUACUGGGCGUAAAGGGUGCGCAGGCGGUUUUGUAAGUCAGAUGUGAAAUCCCCGGGCUUAACCUGGGAACU
RNAcentral lists this ribosomal RNA (423 nucleotides) under uncultured bacterium. RNAcentral's name for it is "bacterial SSU rRNA". It matches the Rfam family "Bacterial small subunit ribosomal RNA", at positions 207 to 622 of the family's 1533-position model. The record is from RNAcentral.